UACGGCUCAGUAACACGUGGACAACCUACCCUACGGAGGGGGAUAACCCCGGGAAACUGGGGAUAAUACCCCAUAGACUAUGGAUGCUGGAAUGCUCUGUAGCCGAAAGGUCUGCCGCCGUAGGAUGGGUCUGCGGCCGAUUAGGUUGUUGUUGGGGUAACGGCCCAACAAGCCUGUAAUCGGUACGGGUUGUGGGAGCAAGAGCCCGGAGAUGGAUUCUGAGACACGAAUCCAGGCCCUACGGGGCGCAGCAGGCGCGAAAACUUUGCAAUGCGGGAAACCGUGACAAGGGAACUCUGAGUGCCCGUAAAAUCGGGCUGUCCAUCGGUUUAAAUAACCGGUGAAGAAAGGGCCGGGCAAGACCGGUGCCAGCCGCCGCGGUAAUACCGGCGGCUCGAGUGGUGGCCACUAUUAUUGGGCUUAAAGCGUUCGUAGCUGGUUUGUUAAGUCUCUGGGGAAAUCUUCCGGCUUAACCGGAAGGCGUCUCAGGGAUACUGGCAGACUAGGGACCGGGAGAGGUGAGAGGUACUCCAGGGGUAGGAGUGAAAUCCUGUAAUCCUUGGGGGACCACCUGUGGCGAAGGCGUCUCACCAGAACGGCUCCGACAGUGAGGGACGAAAGCUGGGGGAGCAAACCGGAUUAGAUACCCGGGUAGUCCCAGCUGUAAACGAUGCGCGUUAGGUGUAUCGGUGACCACGAGUCACCGAGGUGCCGAAGAGAAAUCGUGAAACGUGCCGCCUGGGAAGUACGGUCGCAAGGCUGAAACUUAAAGGAAUUGGCGGGGGAGCACA
This 791-nucleotide ribosomal RNA is filed under the name uncultured archaeon. Its description in RNAcentral is "bacterial SSU rRNA". It matches the Rfam family "Archaeal small subunit ribosomal RNA", at positions 84 to 880 of the family's 1478-position model. The record is from RNAcentral.